GAGACAGCAGUAGCCACGGUAAUACGAACCGUGCGAACGUUAUUCGGAAUUACUGGGCUUAAAGCGCGUGUAGGCGGGCCGCCACGUCGGUUGCUGAAAUCCCCCGGCUCAACCGGGGAAGUGGCAUCGAUACGAGCGGCCUUGAGGGGGGUAGGGGGAUCUGGAACUUCCGGUGGAGCGGUGAAAUGCGUUGAGAUCGGAAGGAACGCCCGUGGCGAAAGCGAGGUCCUGGACCCUUUCUGACGCUGAGACGCGAAAGCCAGGGGAGCGAACGGGAUUAGAGACCCCGGUAGUCCCUGUCUCUUAUA
Molecule: ribosomal RNA, 308 nt
Filed under: uncultured bacterium
Lineage: Bacteria
Description: partial 16S ribosomal RNA
Rfam family: Bacterial small subunit ribosomal RNA
Source: RNAcentral